AUACUUACCUGGAUGGGGUCAAUGGGUGAUCAUUAAGGCCCAUGGCCUAGGCUUGUGACCUCCAUUGCACUUAGGAGGGGUGCCUGCCUAAGGUCUCCCUAAAUGAGAGAGCCUACAUCAUAAUUUGUGACAGUGGGGACCUGUGUUCGCGCGGUCCCUC
This is a non-coding RNA of Lupinus albus (white lupine), 160 nucleotides long. The record is from the annotation of a GenBank genome assembly. NCBI's taxonomy places the organism in Eukaryota, Viridiplantae, Streptophyta, Magnoliopsida, Fabales, Fabaceae.